GUCCUAGCCCUAAACGGUGCACGUUUGCUGUGAGAGGAAUCGACCCCUUUCGUGGCGAAGCUAACGCGUUAAACGUGCCGCCUGGGAAGUACGGUCGCAAGAUUAAAACUCAAAGAAAUUGACGGGGGCCUGCACAAGCGGUGGAGUAUGUGGCUUAAUUCGAUGCAACGCGAAGAACCUUACCUGGCCUUGACAUGUAUCUAGUAGAAGGGUGAAAGCCUGACGAGGUAGCAAUACCAGGAUACACAGGUGCUGCAUGGCUGUCGU
RNAcentral lists this ribosomal RNA (267 nucleotides) under uncultured bacterium. RNAcentral's name for it is "partial 16S ribosomal RNA". It matches the Rfam family "Bacterial small subunit ribosomal RNA", at positions 793 to 1055 of the family's 1533-position model. The record is from RNAcentral.